GACGAACGCUGGCGGCGUGCUUAACACAUGCAAGUCGAACGGAAAGGCCCUGCUUUUGUGGGGUGCUCGAGUGGCGAACGGGUGAGUAACACGUGAGUAACCUGCCCCUGACUUUGGGAUAACUUCAGGAAACUGGGGCUAAUACCGGAUAGGAGCUCCUGCUGCAUGGUGGGGGUUGGAAAGUUUCGGCGGUUGGGGAUGGACUCGCGGCUUAUCAGCUUGUUGGUGGGGUAGUGGCUUACCAAGGCUUUGACGGGUAGCCGGCCUGAGAGGGUGACCGGCCACAUUGGGACUGAGAUACGGCCCAGACUCCUACGGGAGGCAGCAGUGGGGAAUAUUGCACAAUGGGCCGAAGCCUGAUGCAGCAACGCCGCGUGCGGGAUGACGGCCUUCGGGUUGUAAACCGCUUUCGCCUGUGACGAAGCGUGAGUGACGGUAAUGGGUAAAAAAGCACCGGCUAACUACGUG
Molecule: ribosomal RNA, 468 nt
Filed under: uncultured bacterium
Lineage: Bacteria
Description: partial 16S ribosomal RNA
Rfam family: Bacterial small subunit ribosomal RNA
Source: RNAcentral